AUGGUGUGCACCAAGUGCGAGAAGAAGCUGGGGAAGGUGAUCGUCCCGGACAAGUGGAAGGAGGGCGCCAGCAACACCUACGAGGGCGGCGGCCGCAAGAUCAACGAGAACAAGCUCCUCUCCAAGAAGAGCAGCUGCACCGAGCAUAGUUUUAAAGCAGGGAGAGGCGUGAAGAAAUUAUUAGAACAGAGGUCGAGGCGGCUGCAAUUCCUUGGCCCAUUGGCUGUAGUGCUCGGUUUUCACUCAAACUCUCAUGAGGGGAUCUAA
This 267-nucleotide ribosomal RNA is filed under the name Triticum aestivum (bread wheat). RNAcentral's name for it is "partial small subunit ribosomal RNA". The record is from RNAcentral. Lineage: Eukaryota; Viridiplantae; Streptophyta; Magnoliopsida; Poales; Poaceae.